CCUACGGGAGGCAGCAGUAGGGAAUAUUGGGCAAUGGAGGCAACUCUGACCCAGCCAUGCCGCGUGCAGGAAGAAGGCGUUAUGCGUUGUAAACUGCUUUUAUAUAGGAAGAAAUAGACCUUGCGAGGUAAGUUGACGGUACUAUAUGAAUAAGCACCGGCUAACUCCGUGCCAGCAGCCGCGGUAAUACGGAGGGUGCAAGCGUUGUCCGGAUUUAUUGGGUUUAAAGGGUGCGUAGGCGGUUUAUUAAGUCAGUGGUGAAAGACGGUCGCUCAACGAUUGCAGUGCCAUUGAUACUGGUAGACUUGAGUGGGAUUGAGGUAGCUGGAAUGGAUAGUGUAGCGGUGAAAUGCAUAGAUAUUAUCCAGAACACCAAUUGCGUAGGCAAGUUACUAAGUCUCAACUGACGCUGAGGCACGAAAGUGUGGGUAUCAAACAGGAUUAGAUACCCUGGUAGUCCACACUGUAAACGAUGAUAACUAACUGUUGGCUUUCGAGUCAGUGGUACAGAGAAAUCGUUAAGUUAUCCACCUGGGGAGUAACGCCGGCAACGGUUGAAACUUAAAGGAAUUGACGGCUUGNGAGNGCGAGCGACGACGAGGAGAGG
This 607-nucleotide ribosomal RNA is filed under the name uncultured bacterium. RNAcentral's name for it is "bacterial SSU rRNA". It matches the Rfam family "Bacterial small subunit ribosomal RNA", at positions 338 to 945 of the family's 1533-position model. The record is from RNAcentral.